AAAAACUUUGUCAGUUACCUCUACCUAUUAAAAUAUAAUGAUAGGUUUUUUCAAGUUUUGUAAUUACAAGUUUUGUAAAACUUGUGUGAAUAAUACAUGAUAUUUAUUUGUUUAAAAUAUAAUGAUGUAGGAAUCAAUUUUUUAUAUGUGAUUUUCUUUCUUGGUAAUCAAAAAGUUAACUUGCAUGUUUGAUUGUUUUGGAGAUUUUUUGUCUUAAUGAGUGAUUCACCUUUGUUUAGAACCCUCCCAAGCUGGCUACUCCUCUAUUUGAUACUAAAAUGGCAGAGGACCCUAAGAUGACAUACAUAGACCUAGAUAAUCUUCAAAUUGUGUUUUGAACGAAGAGUGUUUGGUCUUGCAUUGUGAUGGCGUCUGAGUGUUGGCUUGGUCUAUGUUGGCUUGCUACAUAUCUAGAAAGCUCCAUGAUUUGUGCUAAGCUGAAGCGUAUCCAAUUUGGAUUUUCCAGCUCAAAAUAUCAGUAGAUUUGUUGUGGUAGUGCCUUAACAGGAUUUGAGACUUCUCCAUUCAAA
Molecule: long non-coding RNA, 530 nt
Organism: Zingiber officinale
Lineage: Eukaryota; Viridiplantae; Streptophyta; Magnoliopsida; Zingiberales; Zingiberaceae
Exons: 3
Source: RefSeq, a predicted model, not a curated record